This 525-nucleotide ribosomal RNA is filed under the name uncultured Alternaria. RNAcentral describes it as "eukaryotic LSU rRNA". The stretch from base 162 to 315 matches the Rfam family "5.8S ribosomal RNA". The record is from RNAcentral. Lineage: Eukaryota; Fungi; Ascomycota; Dothideomycetes; Pleosporales; Pleosporaceae.
AAUAUGAAGGCGGGCUGGAACCUCUUGGGGUUACAGCCUUGCUGAAUUAUUCACCCUUGUCUUUUGCGUACUUCUUGUUUCCUUGGUGGGUUCGCCCACCACUAGGACAAACAUAAACCUUUUGUAAUUGCAAUCAGCGUCAGUAACAAAUUAAUAAUUACAACUUUCAACAACGGAUCUCUUGGUUCUGGCAUCGAUGAAGAACGCAGCGAAAUGCGAUAAGUAGUGUGAAUUGCAGAAUUCAGUGAAUCAUCGAAUCUUUGAACGCACAUUGCGCCCUUUGGUAUUCCAAAGGGCAUGCCUGUUCGAGCGUCAUUUGUACCCUCAAGCUUUGCUUGGUGUUGGGCGUCUUGUCUCUAGCUUUGCUGGAGACUCGCCUUAAAGUAAUUGGCAGCCGGCCUACUGGUUUCGGGGCGCAGCACAAGUCGCACUCUCUAUCAGCAAAGGUCUAGCAUCCAUUAAGCCUUUUUUUCAACUUUUGACCUCGGAUCAGGUAGGGAUACCCGCUGAACUUAAGCAUAUCAA